ACGAACGCUGGCGGCGUGCUUAACACAUGCAAGUCGAACGGAAAGGCCCUGCUUGCAGGGUACUCGAGUGGCGAACGGGUGAGUAACACGUGGGUGAUCUGCCCUGCACUUCGGGAUAAGCCUGGGAAACUGGGUCUAAUACCGGAUAGGAGCCAUUUUUAGUGUGAUGGUUGGAAAGUUUUUUCGGUGUAGGAUGAGCUCGCGGCCUAUCAGCUUGUUGGUGGGGUAAUGGCCUACCAAGGCGGCGACGGGUAGCCGGCCUGAGAGGGUGGACGGCCACAUUGGGACUGAGAUACGGCCCAGACUCCUACGGGAGGCAGCAGUGGGGAAUAUUGCACAAUGGGCGCAGGCCUGAUGCAGCGACGCCGCGUGGGGGAUGACGGCCUUCGGGUUGUAAACUCCUUUCGCUAGGGACGAAGCUUUUUGUGACGGUACCUAGAUAAGAAGCACCGGCUAACUACGUG
RNAcentral lists this ribosomal RNA (464 nucleotides) under uncultured bacterium. RNAcentral describes it as "partial 16S ribosomal RNA". It matches the Rfam family "Bacterial small subunit ribosomal RNA", at positions 29 to 507 of the family's 1533-position model. The record is from RNAcentral.